RNAcentral lists this ribosomal RNA (375 nucleotides) under uncultured Smithella sp. Its description in RNAcentral is "bacterial SSU rRNA". It matches the Rfam family "Bacterial small subunit ribosomal RNA", at positions 1007 to 1382 of the family's 1533-position model. The record is from RNAcentral. Lineage: Bacteria; Pseudomonadati; Thermodesulfobacteriota; Syntrophia; Syntrophales; Smithellaceae.
CAGGGAGUGCCCUUCGGGAGCCAGGAGACAGGUGCUGCAUGGCUGUCGUCAGCUCGUGUCGUGAGAUGUUGGGUUAAGUCCCGCAACGAGCGCAACCCUUGUCUUUAAUUGCCAUCAUUCAGUUUGGGCACUUUAAAGAGACUGCCGGUGUUAAACCGGAGGAAGGUGGGGAUGACGUCAAGUCCUCAUGGCCUUUAUGCCCAGGGCUACACACGUGCUACAAUGGGUGGUACAAAGAGAUGCAAUCUCGCAAGAGCAAGCAAACCUCAAAAAGCCAUCCUCAGUUCGGAUUGGAGUCUGCAACUCGACUCCAUGAAGGUGGAAUCGCUAGUAAUCGCGCAUCAGCAUGGCGCGGUGAAUACGUUCCCGGGCCUU